UCCCUCCUUUUUCCGUAUGUGUAGUGCAAAUAAUAAAAACUGGCAAUAGGUAAAGGUAAAAGCAACAUGUAAGUGUAUUGGGGGGAUAAAUUUACAAAUCAGGGAACGGGUAAUUGUGAAUAAACAGUAACUAGAUAAACAAUACAAAACAGUGAAACGGCAGCUUUAAAACAGGAGCAUGAAGCUCAGGCCCAAAAUACAAGUCACCCUGGCAAUAACAUAUAUAAACUCUCAACUGAGAAAACUCAGUUUAUCUCAUUAUGUUGUCAGCACGUCUGUGGCGGCGGUGAAGUCCAGGACCUACACUCGUUGGGUAAUUGGAACCCGCAGAGGAGGAGCACUGGAGAGUCCCUCAGUGUCUCAGAGUGGAAGAAGCGGACCGAAACCCUCUGGUGAUGUUGUAUCCAGGAAUAGGAGCAGAGGCCGAAUGUUCCAUACCACUUCCUUUGAAGCCACAAGAAACUACAGACUGUUCCCGUGUCUAAGGUAUCCAGGAGAGCCAUCCCAUAUAUCUACUCAUUUCUAUCUUUCUUUCAUCUUCUAAGUUGUCUUUGACCAGUUCAUCUUUCCUUGACAUUAUCUCUCUGCCCGAUCAUUGAGCCCCUGGAGGAGGAUGGCAGAAGAAUCGUGGCAAAUACUGCAGAGGGCUUGCUCUGGUCAAAUGUCCUUUAAAAAAGGGUUAUAAUAUAAGAUAAAAUAUUCUUAAUUAUCUGGUCUUUAAUUCAGACUAUAUGUUUCAGCUAUGCAGUGGAGUUUUAAAAGACCAAAGACUGUAUUUUAUGAAUGGGCUUGGAAGGAUUAGAUUUGUAUCAGUAGACAUCAGUAAAUGUCAAUUUCACUGUACACCCACAAACCGACAAAACAAUACUUCCAUCAGUAAUAAUCAAAAUUUACAGAUAAGCAAAGUAAGAAUAAUGCUGCUUGAGAACUUCUUAGACUUUGAUUUAAGGAGAGAUUUAUUUUGUAUGAUUUGACACAUGAUAUUGACAAUUUGUGUUUCAACGGUUAUAAACCUUUACCUUUUUGAAGCUCAGCAUUUACUAUCAUUAAAUAAUUAUUGUCUGAACCCUCUUAAUUUUCCAGAACUGUGAAAAUUUUAAUUGAUAACAAUAGAAAAAAUCCUUAAAACCCAUAAUUUUGCACAACUGUGAAAAUGUACAUAAAUAAAAAAAUAUUAACAAUAAACA
This 1187-nucleotide long non-coding RNA is filed under the name Chrysemys picta bellii (western painted turtle). RNAcentral's name for it is "lncRNA (ENSCPBG00000013323.1)". The record is from RNAcentral. Lineage: Eukaryota; Metazoa; Chordata; Testudines; Emydidae.